AGAGCGAACGCUGGCGGCAGGCCUAACACAUGCAAGUCGAGCGCCCCGCAAGGGGAGCGGCAGACGGGAGAGUAACACGUGGGAACGUACCCUUCAGUUCGGAACAACCCAGGGAAACUUGGGCUAAUACCGAAUACGUCCGUAAGGAGAAAGAUUUAUCGCUGAAGGAUCGGCCCGCGUCUGAUUAGCUUGUUGGUGAGGUAACGGCUCACCAAGGCUACGAUCAGUAGCUGGUCUGAGAGGAUGAUCAGCCUCACUGGGACUGAGACACGGCCCAGACUCCUACGGGAGGCAGCAGUGGGGAAUAUUGGACAAUGGGCGCAAGCCUGAUCCAGCCAUGCCGCGUGGAUGAUGAAGGCCUUAGGGUUGUAAAGUCCUUUCGACGGGGAAGAUAAUGGCGGUACCCGUAGAAGAAGCCCCGGCUAACUUCGCGCCAGCAGCCGC
Molecule: ribosomal RNA, 444 nt
Filed under: uncultured bacterium
Lineage: Bacteria
Description: SSU rRNA
Rfam family: Bacterial small subunit ribosomal RNA
Source: RNAcentral